This 19894-nucleotide long non-coding RNA is filed under the name Theobroma cacao (cacao). Its description in RNAcentral is "long non-coding RNA (TCAC_LNC005795)". Lineage: Eukaryota; Viridiplantae; Streptophyta; Magnoliopsida; Malvales; Malvaceae. The record is from RNAcentral.
CGGCUGGACCAUUUUGUGACUCUGUAAGGAAAAUGGCUGACAAAGAUGCACAACCUAUGAUAUGUCCCAGCAGCGGUGUACAUAUUGUUCUCCCUGAUUACUAUUCUCCAGAAGGAAUGGGCUUGAUUGUCCCUAAAACUAAGGAUGGACGUGUUGUUUUCAUGCUGCCAUGGUUGGGGAGAACUGUAGCUGGCACAACAGAUUCUAACACUUCCAUCACCCCACUUCCUGAACCACAUGAGGAUGAAAUUCAAUUUAUACUUGAUGCCAUCUGUGAUUACCUUAAUGUCAAGGUAUGACAUGGAUUUAUCAAUGUCAAAUAUGUUCUAAAUUUGUGAUUUUAGAAACCGAAUGUAUUAGAUUCAAUCUAGUUAGCUUUAUCUUUUUACUUUCUUUCUUAUUGAGUCUAUUUUUUUGGUAAAUACUUAGUCUAAUUUUGGAUUUAAUUUAUGGUGGAAAAUUUUAGGUGCGACGAACUGAUGUUCUUUCUGCCUGGAGUGGUAUUCGUCCAUUGGCAGUGGAUCCUAAAGCAAAGAACACUGAGAGCAUCUCUAGAGAUCAUGUGGUUUCUGAGGAUUAUCCUGGUUUAGUCACAAUUACUGGUGGAAAGUGGACUACUUACCGAAGGUAAUGUUUACUUGGAUUCUGCUAGAAUUUUCUUUUGGGAUAGGCAGAUAUUCAGGGUUUGUUCUCAAUACAUGAUUGUCAGUAUUAGUUGUGUUCGUGGUUUACAGUCGCCCAUCAAGGGCUGAAUUUAUCCUGAUGGGCUACUGCUGAACUAAACAUCGAAUGAAAAUUUGGAGUUUAGGUAUUUUUGAACUACAGAUCUCAGGAUGUACAUUCUUUGGAUUCCCUUGAUUUUGGAGCUCAGGAUCUCAUUCUGUUGAUCCCCUCUCCUUCCCUCUCUGUUUUCUUUUUGGCAUAAGUUUUUGUGCUUACUAGAGCUAGUUUCAGCAUGGCAGAAGAUGCGGUUAAUGAAGCUAUCAAGUCUGGUAAACUGAGCCCAAGCAAUGAAUGUAUAACAAGAAGCCUGCAGCUGACUGGUGGAGAUGGAUGGGAACCCUCAUUUUUUACUGUUCUUUCUCAGCAGUAUGUUCGCAUGAAGAAGUCAUAUGGUGGUAAAGUUGUUCCUGGGGUGAUGGACACAGCCGCUGCAAAGCAUUUGUCUCAUGCAUAUGGCACAUUGGCAGAAGGAGUAGCCACCAUAGCUCAGGUUGGUUUGCUAUGUUCUCAUAACAGUUAAUUGUUGGUCUUAAUGGCUGUAGUGGUUGGAUGAGGUAAUUGUGCAUCUGUCUAUUGGACAUUGGGCUUUGAGUGUUGAACAAAUUUAGGGAUUGUAGUGUAUAUUUACCUAAUGACACCUCAUAAAUCUAAAGUGUCAAAAACAGUGAAUUGGUAUAACUUUAAAGGAUCUUCAUUCUGAUGUAAUGUUGCUUCAUUCUUCUAAAAGUGAUAAGAUAACUGGAGAUAAGCUCAGCAUUAUAGUCUUAGGCUUUUCUAUGGCAUUGCUUGAUGAGAGAGGAUGUGUAUGCAAAUUUUACUUGGGCUUUGUUUGGUAAAUGCUUUUACUUUUUGUGUUUUGCUAUUUGUCUUUGGUAUUCUGUUCAUAUUUUUUUUUGCCUUUUCCUUUCUGUUCUUUUUUUUUUUUUUUGCAAAAAAGUAAAAGUAUCUGCCAAAUGGAACCUUAGAAUGUCACAAGUUUCUUCUCAUUAUGUAUUUCUGGUGAUAGUUUAAGAGUCAUGCUAAUUUGAUGUUCUGAAUUCACAAUUUUUAUGGCUUUGAUAUUGUGAAACAUCAUGUGUAAUUUAUGUUCCAUGUCAAGAGGAGCUGACAUUUCAAAAUACUUCUUAACUAUCAGGUUACAAUGCUUGUUUAAAAUUUAAAUUACCAACUUGGGGGCUGCCAGGGAGGGGACAAGCAAUUUUAGAGCACUAGUUAUAGUUCUUUAUUACUCUUUUUGAGUUCUUUGAUUUUUCUUAGUGUAAUUAAUUUAGAUACUAAUUCUUGUCUUAUUAAAUAUAUAAGAACCUUAUUAUCCAUUCAAUUGAAAGUGCAAUAGCCUCUUUUAGUUUUAAGAGAACAAGUUUUAUGAAAUGGAUUUUGUGUAAAGCACUUGAAUUCUUUAUUCCAAGUCCCACCAUCUGAUCUAGUGAUCUAGCAUAGAGCUAUUUGGGAAUAUUUAUGUAUAAUAUUAUUUGAAAAUUGCAAUUCAUGUCUGUGAACACUGAACAUGCAAUUUUUAUUUUCUUCUUGGUUGGUUAACAUUUCAAAUCUGCCUUUUAAUUUUUAGAAUGAAACUCUGGGUAAGAGGCUUGCACAUGGGUACCCUUAUUUGGAGGCAGAGGUUGCAUAUUGUGCUCGUAAUGAGUACUGUGAGUCUGCUGUUGAUUUCAUUGCCCGGAGAUCUCGCCUUGCUUUCCUUGACACUGAUGCAGCAGGCCGUGCGUUGCCACGCAUUAUCCAAAUACUUGCUACUGAGCACAACUGGGGCAAGUCAAGGCAGAAGCAAGAAAUGCAGAAGGCUAAAGAAUUUUUGGAAACUUUCAAGUCUUCAAAGAAUGCACAGUUCCAUGAUGGGAAGCACGAGUAGUGAGUAUUACAUUUUAUUCAUUACUUCAGGCAUAGACUUUAAAGAAGUUUUGUAUAAUAAAUUAAUAAUAUGUUGCUGUUAACUUUGUUUUAGGGUCUUGAAAUCAAUGAACCAGAUUUUUGGAGCUCAAGAUUCUCCUUAAUUUUAUGCGGCUGGUUUCCACCAUGCUUAUACAGGCACAUAUAUCUUCUACUUCAUUUGGCAAAGCAGCGGAAUCUGAAUCAUAUUCCAUAGCAUGCACAGCUUUUGGAGGCACUUGAUUUUGUUGAGCUUGCUUUGCAUGAUUAAUAAUGCAACUUGUAAAAGAUUGCCGGUCCCCAGGAAACUUUAGCAUCUUGUUGGACCUGUCUUAAAAGGUUGGGGACAAUUUACUGAUUCACAUGGGUAAAUACAUUUUUCUAACUUUAUACAAGUCUUUUCCCCUGCAUUUCUUAUAAUUUCUGGAUACAUGCUUCAGAAGUAUCGGUGUCCAGUUUUUACUUGUAUUUUGUCUUCUCAAUUGAGAAAUAAAAGAAACAUUGAAUUAUUUUAGUUUUCUGUCAACUGUCAUAUUCACCAUUUGCCUAUCUUGAUCAUAGGAAAACUUUGAAUUAUCUGAGCCAGAAUCACAUGCUAUGCACUUCUUUUUGAAGGUUAGGCUAGCUCUCUAUAAGGAAAUAGAUCCAGUCAACAAGUGUUUUCAGUUGAGCCUCAGAAACAAAAGUUCAUUUGAGCAUAUGUAUGUGGAAUUUUGAUCUUCUUUGGCUACUUAUCUUUCCAUAAAUUUUUGGGGAAUUAAUUAUUUUAGGUAUGUGACCGUUGGAAUUGUGUAAUGGCCUAGCGACAGUGUAUCGCUGUGGGAAGAGCCAAUGCAAUUGUUCCAUGCUGAAGCCCGGAUUUCGGUCUGUUUCAGCCUACAAUUAUCAAGCCCAUCACAGCCCGUAUAGGUCACUGCUUCAUAUCUAUUAUUAUACGCGACUAUUUAUUUUUUUAUUUGUUUCUAAAUAAAUAAUAAUAAUUACAUAUCGAAUAUAAAGUUGCAUAUUGUACAAAUAACUAAAACUAAUAACAUGCAUAUACUAACCGGCAAUUACAUUAACAUCAAAUUUGUUUGCCUCAUGUAUAAAGUAUAUCAUAUAAACAUAAAGUUUAUUACUUUUACUGUUUAGUGUAAACUUAGAAUUCUGAAGAUAAUAUAACAUAAUAUAAAGUUUAAUUUAUUUUUAUUUAUCAAAUAAUUCCAUUAACAUGGAAAUCUUAUAUUGAAAUUAGAUUUUUUAAUUAAAAAUAGAAUAACUUUUAUUGAUAUUUUAUAAUAAAAUAUUUAAAAUAAUAAUUUAGAAAUAUAAUGAACAAAAUAUAUAUUUUUGUCAAUCAAAAGUUUACCCAUAUCUGUAUUUUUAUAUAUAUUAGUAUUUAUUGUCACGCCUGAGUAAUUAUUUUUUUAAAUUAUAGUUAAAUUAUAGUUAUGUAUAAAAGAUAAAUAUUUUCAAAAUUUCAAAUUAAUUGUCUAUAUCACUAAAAUAUAAUUACAAUUGAAAAAAAUUACAUAUAUAAAAGAUAAUUAAUAUUUCGAUUAUAUAUGAUUAAAAUUUUAUAUAAUCAUUUAUAAAUUAUUCAACACUAUUAGAUUAAGAAAAACAUUUUUAAUAAAAUUCAUUCAAUAAGAUUAGAAUUCUUAUUUACAAAUGGGGUAAAUCAUAUCAAUUAUUUAUAACAAAAAAUAUUUUAAAUGAAAGUCAUUGAAAAUUUUUAUAUAUUUACAAAUUAGAUCAUUUUUAUUAAUAUUAAUAAAAAAAAAUUGAAAAUAACAAUCUAAAAAUGUAUAGAACAAAUAUAAUUACUUUCAUUAUUAAAUUUUUUUUCAAUAUUCGUAUUUUUAUGUAUAUUAUAAAUGAACAUAAAUAAAUAAUUAGAUAUAAAACAUGGAUAAUAAUUCUUUUUUUUUUGUUAUGACAACGAUAAUAUUAUCCUAAUUUACCACGCGGCAGGAUAUGAAGUGCAAUAAUUUUGAAGGUGGAAACCCCCCAAAAUAUCCCCAAGAUUUAAAAUCCAGUGCCUACUGGCCAGCAAGCGAGCAAAGCAAAGCAAGAAAAAUGGGAGCACUGUCAUCUCUCCACCACCUCUCAACUUCCCUUUCCCUCCUUACCAGACCAUCCCUUUCUCUCCCUCCUUUCCUCCGCCCAAUCCGCGCCCUCCCUCCCAUCACCUCCUCCUCCUCUUUACAGUUCAACAUCACAUUUGCUCCUCCGAACCCCAAACUCAAACCCAGAACCCCUCCAAACCUCAAGAACGACGUUGUUCUCGACGACUCCGAAUCCCCUCCCCUUCCUUCCAAUGGCCAGCUAUUCAUCCCCUGGAUCGUCCGCGGCGAGGACGGCAACCUCAAACUCCAAGCUCACCCCCCUGCGCGCCUUAUCCACGCGCUUGCUGAUGCUAAAACGCAGAAGCCCAAAAAGAAGGUUGACAAGGCGGUGAAGAAAAAAAAGGAGAUUUCAGCUGUUGGAAAUGCAAGUGUUGAGCCGCCUAAGCUUUCCAAGGCGGCUAGAAGGUUUUAUAAUGAAAAUUUUACAGAGCCUCCUCAAAGGUUAAGUAAAGUCCUUGCUGCUGCUGGAGGUAAAUUCACUUUGUUUAAUAACAGAAAUCUUUAAUUUAAUUAUAAUAUUGGGUAUUUAUGGAAUAUUUGGAGCAAACUUACUUAUUACUACUAUUACUUGAAGAAGUGAUAUUCUAUACAUUGGUCCUGGUGUUUUUUUUUUAAUAUUAUUAUUAAAAACAAAAACUUUUAUAGGUGAUUCUGAAUGCUUUUCAUGUGUCUAUUUAGACGUUAGCUCAAUUAGAAUAUUGGGCAUUUGUGUAAUAUCAACCAAACUUAUUAGUACUUGUAGACUUGGUAUUCUAUACAUCUCUGCUGGAGUUUAAAACUUGUAAAAUGUGAUUUUGAAUGCUUCUCAUGUGUUUAUUUAGUUAAAUAUGUUAAUUAAAUCUCCUCUAGUUCAAUAAUAUUAUUGGGUAUUGGCGUAACAUCUGCCAAAUUUAUUACCCAUAGCACUGAUAUUCUAUACAUUAGUGGUAGAGUUUAAAAAUUCUUACAGGUGAUUCUAAAUGCUUGUCACGUGGCCAUUUAAUUCAAUAUGUUAUUUAUAAUGGAUUGUUAGUUUUAAACUUCACCUUUAGUAGAUGUAUUCAUAAUUCUUUGUAGAACGUGUAAUUGACUAUUUUUUUUUUGUUGCUUUUUGAAUGGUUGUGUUACUAGUGGCAUCAAGGCGUGGAAGUGAGGAGCUUAUUUUUGAUGGCAAGGUGACUGUUAAUGGUUCUGUGUGCAAUGCUCCUCAGGUAAGUGUGUAGUUCUUAGUCAAUUUGUCGUUGAAGUGCAUUUUUCUCAUGAAAAAAUGUUUCUCUUUCAUCACUUUUUUUACCAUCUAUGUGAAUUUGUGGAUCAUGUUCAGCCUACUUGAAGCAAUUGGGAAAAUGAAUUGGUAAAAAUGUAGUAGGAAGUCUAAGUUGUUCAUUAUUCUUUUUAUAGAGGUUUUAUUGGCAUCCUUACUAUAUUUUCUUUGCAUACAUUUUAAUUAUUCUUGUUUAGUUUUGCUGCUUGAAUUCCUAUAAAAGGUUUUAUACUUAGCUCAUUUUUUAUGGCGAAGGAGUUAUAUGCUCAUUAUAGGUGAUAAUUUGCAGACUCGAGUUGAUCCUGCAAAGGAUAUUAUUUAUGUCAACGGGAGCCGACUUCCUAAAAAACUACCACCUAAGGUGUAUCUUGCCCUAAACAAGCCCAAAGGGUUUGUCACCACUACUGAACUACAAUGCUCUUAAUGGCCUUUUGUGCUGUUUGCUUCAGUAUAUUAUCUGGAUCUAAUGCAAUCACGUUUUGCCAGGUAUAUUUGCUCAUCUGGGGAGAAAGAGUUCAAAUCUGUCCUGGAUCUAUUUGAGGAUUAUUUAAAGAGAUGGGUAUGUCCACGUUGCAACUUUUGAAGUAUGGUUUCUCAUUGUCAACUUAUUUGCAGCUACAAUUAUGGAUGCUUAGAAGAUUUUCUCUUGUCAAUGUCAUUUGCUUUAUAUAGAUUUAUAUCAUAUGUUUUAUUUAUUUCCUAUAGUUUUGCAAAAUUGUAAGAAGGAAGUUUGUUUUUCCAGGACAAAAUGAAUCGAGGUUCUCCCAAGCCACGAUUAUUCACUGUUGGCCGACUUGAUGUUGCUACAACUGGCUUGAUUAUUGUGACCAAUGAUGGUAUGUAUUUUGCUGCAUAUAUACCCAUCCUUAAGCUUGAUGACUGAGUCUUACCUAGAUAUCAAUUACCUUUUGUUGUCUGUUUCAGGAGAUUUUGCUCAAAAGUUGUCACAUCCUUCAUCCAACUUAAAUAAGGAGUAAGAUUCUUUGCAUUUUAUACUUUGUUAGUGACAGGGAUUACUGCACAUAGCUAGAGGUGGCACUUGGUUGGGUUGGGUUGGGUUGGGUUGGGUUGUGUUGAUCAUUUCGGUUUGGGUUAUCUUGGGGUCGGGUCAUUUGGGUUUUGACACUCGGGUUAUUUGGGUUGAAGUUGUUGACUUUUAAAGUAAAAUCAAUUUAGGUUUGGGUUAUGCUUCCGUAUCUUUUGAGUUUAGGUUGUUUCCCAUCUCUGCACACAGCUGUGUUGGAAGAAUGGUUCCAUUGUAAAAUUUAGUACUGUUGCCCAGGGACUAGUGACAUUGGAUAGUAUGCCUCUAAAAGAUGGUAGUAUUACAUUUUGAAUGGCAGUGGCUUGAUAUAUUUACCAACCUACUGCUUUUGCAUUAGGACUUUCAUGCUGUUAUGACUCAUUCAUUAUAUUCAUGUAUUCCAUUUACCUUUUGUUUUUUUAUUAUUAAAUGAUACCCUUCAUUUUUCAUAUUGACUAAGAUUUGGUUAUUUUCUGGGAUGCUAUUGUCAUUAACUGGAGUUCUAUUCCCUGUGACAAUGCAAUUACAGAUACAUUGCGACAAUUGAUGGUGAAGUAAAGAAGCGGCACUUAAUUGCCAUCAGUGAAGGGACAGAAAUUGAAGGCAUUCAUUGCAUCCCAGAUUCUGUGGAAUUACUUCCGCGGCAGCCAGAUUUGUCAAGACCUCGUCUUCGUAUUGUGGUAUUGGUUAUCUCAACAUGUGGUUUUGAUAAUACCAAUUCUUUGAUGAAUUUUAAAUUGGUUUAUAAUUUUAGAUAAUUUAAAGAAUUUUGAGCUUUUCCUCUUGGAUUCUGUGUAGUCAAAGAUUCGAUAUGCAAAUUUAGCCAUUAAUUUGAUGGGUUUAAAUUUAACAAUGUUAUUCUCCAAUCAUUUUCUUGGAAGUUAGUAAAAGAUGAGAGCUGUGUAAGAUUGCUUGACUUAAUUUGCUAAUUUUUCCUCCCCUUUCGCAAAAACUGGAUUUGCAGGUUCAUGAAGGGAGGAAUCAUGAAGUUCGUGAACUCGUGAAAAAUGCUGGACUUGAGGUCAGUUUCGGUCUUCUUACAUGACGUUUACUCACAUACCUAAAAUGGCUCAUUGUUUGCUCUAAAUUGAUCGAGUUUAUAUAGGAAUGGACCAUAACAAUAACUUAAAAUUGUUUGAUAAGGAAAUCAUUAGUAAUAUGAAAUUAUUGCCGCUUUGGAAUGAUAGGCUUAUCAUACCUAUUUGACCUUCCAUUCAUCAAGUUUCACUGGAUACUUUAUUUGUUUUUUCAAUCUUCUCUUUAACUUAUUUAUUGAUCUUAUUAUUUUUGUUUCUAAGGGUAUUGAUUUUUUUUUUCCAGAUUCAUUCGUUGAAGCGUGUACGCAUAGGUGGUUUCAGACUUCCAGCAGAUCUAGGGUAUUAUUUCGGACAAUGCCACUUUUUUACAUCAACAUUGAGGGUGCCUUUCCCCCACUCUUUCCCUUUCUUUUCUCCUUUCCAUAAUCACUCUACCAAAAGUCAGCUCGAUCAAAUGGAUACAGUUUGAUAGUAGCAAAGCCAGCUACUAUUGAACUAAUAAUCAUCACAUUGUAGAACCUGUGCUCUAGCCUCUGAGCUAAUUGUCUUGUUAAAUAUUCAACUUUCUUAGAGUACCACUUGCAAUCCUAGGGGAUUUUAUGAAUGCCCAAUAACCUUUCCUUUAUUUUCUGUGGGUUUCCUUUCAGAAGCUUUGGCUUGGAGCCUCUGUUCACAUGAGAAGGGUAAAAUACUACCAAUGUUUAAGCCUUUUGUUUACCCAUCUUUCAAUUAUUUUCGGUUUGAGUAAAACCAGUUUUCUUCUUCAAUAUCUUCCAUCAUAUGGGUAAAAUACAUCCUGUUUUCAAACAGAAAGUACCCUCCCUCUUCUUAGGCAGGUCCAACAGACACUGGGUUAGUCUCUUAGAAGCUUUAAUAUGCAUAGGUUUAAAGCUAACCAAAACCAGUUUCAGCAGGGAAGCUCUUGUAGAACCUUAAAACCAUGUGACAUUUUGUUUAGCAUCCCAGUUAGUACCUUCGAUGUACCAUGUGUUUAUUAAGAUAGGUUUGGCUUUUGUCUGCUAAUGACAGCUGUGGUUUGCAUGUGGAUUACCCUGCAAAUUAAAUUCUAGUUUUAGUUACAUGUGCACACAACAGAUUGUGGUAAUGUGUUCUUACAUUCAGGCUAGGGAAGCAUGUCGAGCUAAAACAGAGUGACCUUCGUGCAAUGGGUUGGAAGAGUUAGUGAAGUCACUGCUUCAGUGGCAGCAUCUGCAUUUUCUUUUUGGUCUCCAUGGAAGAGCCUUCAACCAGAUGUUACACGGCCAUAGAGUCACUGAUUUUUUGAGAGCAUGGGAACUGGCCCCUUCAUGGCAAUGGUUUAUGGGCCUAUGAGUUGGACGUCAUGAUUUCUCAUUGUGUUGGAUGACUAUUGCGGGCAGGCCACAUCUUUUUCUUUGGAAAAGGGCAGAAUUCUUAAAAUACUUCUGUGAGGUAAAAUUAUUUAUAUAGAUGUGAAGUUGUGUUGUACAUAUAGAGCUCUAAUACAUGCUACAAUACCAAACUGCUUCAUGGAAAUCACAUGAUUGUAAUGGAACUGGUUUAAAGAAAAGGAACUUCAGGGCAGAAGCAAUUGCAUUUUGUGAUGAAAAUUUGCACAAGGUUAUAGAAAUGUAUUAUUCCAUAAUUGCCAUGGUAGUAAAUAGAGCAUUAAGGAGUUGGUUUGACAUGCUCUGGACUGUGAUUAUUGAUAUUUAAAUGAAUGUUCACAUCACAGGAUAAUGCUCUCACUAUCUGCAUUUUGUUUGAGUUCUUAUCUGCAUGCGUUUUCUUCAUAUUGUCCAUAUUCGUUCUCAAUCACAACUUGCUGACAUCUAUGUUCAUUUAGGAAUUAGUCUAAUGUACUUCACAUGUGCAUAUACACAUGUACGUAUUCCAGAAGUGAUAUAAGCAUACAUAGCAGUCGAAUUCUAAAGGGGUAAAGCAGUCUCUACAUUCCCUUUUUUCUUGAAUAUUCACUACUGUCAAUUUCAACAUGCCUAAGGCUCACAUGCUUUUAAUUUCUCUUGGCAAUUUCACGAGUUCGAUGCAUCAACGGAGAUCCAGUGUUUGCAAAUUCUGUAACCUUGUCACUGAUUUAGGCAGUUCUCUAAUAUAAUGGUUUCUAAAAAGGUCGUAAUAGAGAUGUGAUUAUCAUGACCUGUUGAGAAACUUAAUGUAAGUUGAAAGGGUCUUUGCUCAUAAGAAACAUCUUAAAACAGAUUUUUCGAAAUGAUUUGGAGGCUUGUCAUUUUGAAUAAUAUAGUGGAAGAGUUAUUUAAAAUAUUAAAAUCUUGUUUUAAAUAUUCUAUGCAUAAUAUUCACAAAUUACUUAUUUAUUCAAGCUUAAUUAUAUUAAAACCUUGUUUUAACCCUUGAACUUGAUUGUAUUAAUUAAUUUGUAAAAAUGAUUGGAUGCAAACUGUUAAAUUAUCAUGUGGAUGAGGCCAUGCAAAAAGAAGUUUGCAAUGGGCAGGGCUCCAUAUGAUUAGUGUUAAAGAUAAGCACAGUUAGGUGCCCAUGAUUCAUUGGUAAAGCAAGAUGGAUCAGCAUCUAAGAUGGAUUCAUGAAUCCUGUUCGAUACUAUCUCCAGGAAAAGGGAAGAAUAUAAACCUUAAUUUGUGACCCAUUCAUUUCCCUCAUUUUUCUUGUUUGGAUCAAGGGGAAAUAUGAAGACUAAUUUUGAAGCACCACGUCCACAUUAGUAGGUUUGCUAGUUAAGGGUCAUGCUUACCAACUUAACAGUUGAUUUUGAUUGGCCUACAUGAGAAUUUACUUUCAUAAUCUGAAAGAUUAUUCUUCAUAUUUCUCUAUAUAUCUAAAGAUAGCAACCAUCUAAUGAUUGCCAGCAAUUAUUUUGAUGCUUCUUAAGUUGCAAUUUAUGCAAACAUACAUACGGCCUGAUCCGAAAUUUAGGACAUCAUAUGUUUUUUUUUUUUCAAAUAUAAUAACUAAAUAACUUAGAAAUCAAUAAUUUUAAAAAUUCUAAACUAGUAUUGAAUCAUCGAUAAAAAAAUUAUUUCGAAUAAAAAGAAAUUGAUAGAAUCGAAAUGAGUUUAAUCUUUUUAUUCGAUUAUAAUGAUUUCGAGUUUCGAUUUUGUCGAUUCAGUAUGAGGGGAUUGUAUUUUCUACAUUUUGUGUGCUAUAAUUUUAAAUUCAGAAAAUUUUUCUUUUUUUUUUUUUUUCCAAAAAGUAAGAAAUGUUAAGAUCCCAAAGCCAAACAGGUGCCUAUUCUACCUUUUUUGGGCUGUAUGGUUUCUUAUUCAUUCUCUAGAACACAACUCUUUUAUAAGAAUAAAUCCUUUCCUUUUGUCUUAUUAAAUUUUGGACUUCUCAAAGCCGAAUCUAAAGCCUUCUUUGUUUCACUUAUCGUUUGGGUUCUGAGGGCCCAUAAAUAUUAACCAGGACCCGUGCACAAACCUGUUACCGCCAAUGUUAAAACCCAAAUCCCGAACUCGGUCCUUUAAAUUAGCCGCUCUCACUUCUUCCUUAUACGAAAGAGAGAGACAGAGGAAGAGGGAGGGAGAGAUGGUUUCGCGAAACCUUAAGCUCCAGAAACGGCUCUCUGCGAGCGUUCUAAAGUGUGGAAAAGGAAAAGUUCGGCUCGAUCCAGAUGAGGUCAACGAAAUCUCCAUGGCCAACUCCCGUACGUCUUCCUCUUCCCUCUUACUCACUUCCUAACUUUUAUCUUUUUUAUAUUCAGCAGUUUUGAGUUUUAGGUACAAUUUAGACUUGAUUUGCAUCGUUUUUUUGCCAACUAAAAUGGUGGAAAACGAAGCUUAGAGCUUAAACUGGGGUUUGGAACAACGAAAGUUGUGACGGUCAAGUUCAACUUUUUAGGAAUUGAAUCUAAUAAUAGCUGCUCUAUUUCAAUUUAAAGCUCAGUUAUUUUUCUGAGUUUUAUUUAGUGAUUUACAACAGCCAAGUUUAAUAUAGUUUGCGGGGAUGAACUCUAGCUUAUACGCUAAAUUUAUGAAUUUGUAGGUAUUCUAUUGGAAAUACAAGGAAGGAAUACAUUCUUGAACUAAAACGUGUGGUGAAUCCAUAAAUUAACUUGAGGGGUUACUAGUUUUUCCGCAUUAGGAAAAUCGAAAUUUAGAAUAAUACGGUUUUCUGUUUCAUCAUUCUAUACCGUGGAGUAAUAGUGUGCAAUUGAGGCAGUCUCAUUUUUACCAUUUGCCAAAUAAAUAAAUAAUAUACUUUACCCUAAUAAACAUAUUUAAACAUAAAAACUCCUUGCUAAAGAAAAAAAUAAAACUUGUUUCCUAUAACUUUGCUGCAAACAGAGUAAAAUUGUACUGUUCAUAUAUAGGUUUCGUGCUGUUGUUUACCCUCUUUAGGGUACCAAACACUUCAAUUUUGUUUUGAUUUAAGGAGCCUUCAUUAGCGCAAUCCUAUUAUAGCUAUUUCAAUCUAUUUUUGAGUUUAUUCUUUUAGUUUUAUAUUUCUAAUGUUGCGCCUAAGCACUACAUUUCAUUGACUAGUUUGAUUAAAUGAAGAAUUAGGGUUUUUUUUUUUUUGUUGAAGCAAAUUAUCACAAAAUACUUUGCUUAAUAUCUUUCCAUCUUCUCCAUUUCGAGAAAACUUCUUUUAUUGUUUUUUGGUUUGGACUAAUAAUCAAAUUUAUCAACAUUAGAAAAUGGAGAUAGAAAAUUGAAUGGGAGGAAUUUGAUAUAAUUUCCAAAACUGAACGGAUCUUACCUUUGUCUUUUUCAGGCUUAUCUGAGCUGCCUGUAGAGUUAAUGACCAGACAAGAUUCAUGGAGGUAGAUGAACAGUUCAAUUUUUUUCUCUGUUUGUUUGCUGCAAAAUUAUAAGAAACAAGUGUUUUUUUUCUUAACAAGGAGUUUUUAUGUUUAAAUAUGUUUAUUAGGGUAAAGUUUUGUUGAGGUUCAUGUGAAACUAUUUGAUUUGGAUAGUUCAAAUUUAUUUUUUCACUGCUUUCAAUUUCUUAAUAUCUGAUUGACAUUAAGAGAAUCCUGUUUGCGUACAUUUGUAGUUUGGAAGGCAAUGAUAGUAAUGCUUUAAUGUUGUCUACAAAAAGAAGCAAAAAAAGGAAAGGGAAUAACCAGGUAUCAUCAAUGAUUUGAUUAGCCCUUGAUUCUUGUUUCGAUCAUAUUAAAUAAAAGCUUAGUGUGAAAUAAUUAUGCCUACAGGAGCUUGAAAAGGCCAAAGAGAAACAACACCCCAAAUUGAGUAAAUCUCAAAUAAGAAAGUUGAAGAAGUUGGAGGUACUUGCCCUUUCUUGAUGAUUGAUGCCCUACUUGGUUUUCCUUUUUUUCUUUUUUUUUUGUUUUGUGUGUGUGUAUGUGAUAGAGAGAUGACUUCUAUUUUGUUGGUGCAGGAGGAGAAAGAGAAGGCGCUUUUGCUAUCAAAGAGCAUUGAGACCUUGGAGUACUGUUCCUUUCUUUUUCUAAAUAAUGUAUCCUACUUUGUUUGUCUUUCAUUGAGGAAACUUAUUGAAUGUUUGACAAAUAUUAUAACAUUUACAUUUUCAGGAAAUACAAGAUUUCGGAAGAUGCAUAUUCUUUACUGCAGUCUUCAAAAACUAUUGGUUUGGUUUGUAUCAUUGAGUCUUUGCCAAAUUUAAAUCAAACAUGAUUAGUGUGCCUAAUAUUAAUUUGUUUAAGUAGGCUGAAACAAUGCGGGAAAAACGUAGGAGAGUUGUUCAGUUUUCGAAAGCAGGUAUAGAACCUCCAUAUGUUGACAAAUCUUCUAAGGGGAGAGGGGGUAAUAAUUCAUCAUCUUCUUCUGAACCUGAGCCUGAACCUGAAUUGGAGGAAAUCAACUCAAGGAAGUUGUCCACUGAUGGGCAGCCAUUGAUAAUAGAAAGAGAAGUUGCAAGAAAUGCACUUGGUCCUUUGGCAUCUUCUCAAGAGCCAGUUUUUGGUAAGGACCUAGACCCAAGCUGUAGUUCUGUUGAUACCUUACCAACUAAGGAGGUUUCCCUCAAGGAAAACAGCACACCUUUAGAAGAAGAUAUUAAAAACUGCAUUGCUAAGUUGUCCACUGAUGGUGGGAGAGAAAGCUCUAUGUCAAAGGUAAGUUGGAGUUUUGAAAGUUUAAUGUAUCAUUUGAAGAAAAAACUGCAAUUGAAGGGACAUUGUAUAUAUAUAAUAUUUUAGUUAGGUAUGAUUCUCAUAAGAUUUGAUGUUUAUAAAGCUUUGUGCCCUGUGUUGCUAAUUGCUAUGUAAGUCAUAAGUUGGAAACACUUUUUUAAGAUGUGAUGAAAAAAUUGAAAGUAUUUGCAAGAUGUAUCUUGACUCACAAAAGUUAAUUUGUUGUACAUAAGCUGACUAAAAGUGUAAAAGAAACAAUGAAAUAGAAAUUUCAAGUUUAAUUUUAAUUAAAAUUUCAUGCUUAAUUUCAUCAUAUUUUCUUUCAUGUUUAUCUGCUAUGUUAUGUUAUUGGCUUAUUUGAGAAGGUGGUUUGACAUGAGCUAGGUUGAUAAAAUAAGAGCCCAAACAUUCAUUUCAAUGGGACUUGUCAUGUUUAGGUUUGUUCUUUGCAGGGACUUCUUUCUGCCCCAACCGUAGUGCAUGUAUCUAGGCCAGAUGAGGUUGAAAACAAAAGGAAGGACCUUCCAAUAGUCAUGAUGGAACAGGAAAUAAUGGAAGCUAUAAAUGAAAAUUCUACUGUUAUUAUUUGUGGAGAGACUGGAUGUGGUAAAACCACACAAGUUCCUCAGGUAUGGCUGUUUGAUGCAUGAUUGUGUGUACUUACUGGGAUCUAAAAACUAAUUUUUCUGUUCAAUAAUUCUUUUUUUUUUUUUCCAUUUUUGUUCCAAUAUUUAGUUUCUUUAUGAAGCCGGCUUUGGUUCAAGCCAGUCUACUCUUCGAAGCGGUAUCAUUGGUGUUACUCAACCCCGUCGUGUAGCAGUCCUUGCUACUGCUAAGCGAGUUGCUUUUGAACUUGGUCUUCGUCUUGGUAAAGAAGUUGGGUUUCAAGUUAGGCAUGACAAGAAGAUUGGGGACAGGUGCUCUAUCAAGUUUAUGACUGAUGGAAUUUUACUUCGAGAAGUUCAGGUUUUACUUCCACUUACAGUUGUUAUCUAUAUAUACACAUACAUAUAUAUCUUAUCUGUGAUAACACUGAUGGCUAUGCAUGAAAAAUAAAAUAACUCUCAUUCUUUCUUUAGCAGCUUCAUUUUCAUAUUCUUCUUAUAUCUGCACAAUUUGUGGUGCAGAAUGAUGUUCUACUAAAGCGCUACUCCGCCAUAAUUCUGGAUGAGGCUCAUGAGAGGAGCUUGAACACAGACAUACUUAUUGGAAUGCUUUCUCGUGUAAUUCGACUUCGUCAGGUGAAACUUGAAAGAUUUUUGGUUCUACCUUGGGGCAAUAAAUUUAUUUUCUUCUAUGUUCACCCUCUUACUGUAUUGUUUUGUGGUUGAUGGCAGGAUUUGUAUGAGAAGCAACAGCGUAUGAUGCUUUCAGGACAAAGUGUAAGCCCUGAAAACUUGAUACUUCCGUUAAAUCUUGUUUUGAUGAGUGCUACACUGCGAGUGGAAGACUUCAUUUCUGGGAGAAAGUUAUUUCAUGUUCCUCCUCCUGUUAUUGAAGUUCCAACUAGACAAUAUCCAGUGACGGUACAUUUCUCAAAGAGAACAGAGCUUGUGGAUUACAUUGGUCAAGCCUUCAAAAAGGUCAUGUCAAUUCAUAAGAGGCUGCCACAAGGUGGCAUACUUGUUUUUGUCACUGGACAGAGAGAAGUGGAAUACUUGUGCCAAAAGUUAUGUAAGGCUUCUAGGGAUGUGAUCGCUAGUAUUUCUGAAGGGGACAAAAGUACUGACACUAGUGCUCCCUCUCAAAUCGAUUUGGUUGAGGGCAUUAAUAUGAAGGAUAUCAGUGAAGCAUUUGAGAUUCACGGAGACUCAACCCACCAGCAGACUGACAGGUUUAGCUCGUACGAUGAAGAUCAGUAUGAUUAUGAGGAGGAUGAUUCCGAUGCUUCUUAUGAUUCAGAGAUGGAGAGUGAGCUGGAAAUUUUCGGUGAGGAAAGGAACACAUUAGAACAAAAAUCCAUGGAUAAUGUCGAUAACUUGGUUGAUGCGUUUGGAGGGAAUGGAAGCCUUGCUUCUCUUAAGGCUGCUUUUGAUGCUUUGGCUGGGAAAAAUGGUUUGGAUGCUAAUCCUGAGGGAGGAGAGACUGUCUCUAUUAAUCCAGAGAACAGCUUAGAGCAACCACCUGCGCCCAUUGAAAAAAUUAGAGAAGGUAAUAGAAGUCUCAAUGCUGGUAUACUACGAGUUCUGCCUCUUUAUGCCAUGCUACCUGCUGCAGCACAGCUUCGUGUAUUUGAAGAGGUUAAGGAUGGAGAGCGGCUUGUUGUUGUUGCUACCAAUGUGGCUGAAACCUCUUUAACUAUCCCAGGAAUAAAGUAUGUGGUUGACACUGGGAGAGAAAAGGUCAAGAACUAUAAUCCCACCAAUGGUAUGGAAACCUAUGAAGUACUAUGGAUUAGUAAAGCAUCUGCUGCUCAACGAGCAGGAAGAGCUGGAAGAACUGGGCCUGGCCAUUGCUAUCGUCUCUAUUCAUCUGCAGUCUUUAACAACAUAUUUCCUGAUUUCUCUUGCGCUGAAAUAUCUAAAAUACCUGUUGAUGGUGUUGUUCUUCUUAUGAAAUCCAUGGGCAUUGAUAAGGUGAGCUUUGCAUGUAUUUUGUUUUUAUCUUUAAUGGUGUUGUUCUUUUUACGAAAUCCACGGGCAUUGAUAAGGUGAGCUUUGCAUGUAUGCCGUUGUUUCUCUCUAUCUCUUUAUAAAGUAUCAUAUUGAGGUCUAUGUGGUGGCUUUGUCAGAUAAUUUAUGUUGAGCUAAUUUUUUGGAUCCUAUGACACACACACACACACGCACGCAUAUUUGUUUAAUAACAUUUUUUUUCCCAUAAGCUCCUGCUGAUGCAUAUAUAUGAUAGGGAUCAUCAUUAAUUCUACUAAAUUAUCUGGAUUUUGUUAAGAGACAAAUGUUCAUUUUUUGUGUUUUAAUUUUACUCCUUUAGGACAUGCAGCAUGUAUAAUUCUGCCUUUACAGAGUCAAAUAUGUUAUCACUUGGUUCACUUGUAGUUAGUGAUGUCCAUUUUGGUUAUGACUAUAAUCCUUGAUCUGUUAAUGGGCUUUCUCAUAAGGUUCCUUAAAGUUUUAGGUUUUAAGGGACUAAUCUACUUGAUCUACAUUAACUUCUUGUCCCGUGAAAAUUGAAGUUGUUCAGCAAUGAAUAUUUAUGUCUUGUUUUCUGUGUUUUUGCAGGUGGCAAAUUUCCCAUUCCCAACUUCUCCAGGGCCCACUGCCCUGGUUGAAGCAGACCGUUGCUUGAAAGCCCUUGAAGCACUUGAUAGGAAUGGAAGGUUGACAUCUCUGGGGAAAGCCAUGGCUCAUUACCCUAUGAGUCCUCGCCACUCAAGGAUGCUCCUUACUGUUAUCCAGAUUAUGAGAAGGGUGAAAAGCUAUGCUCGAGCAAAUCUGGUUCUUGCGUAUGCAGUGGCAGCAGCUGCAGUUUUGAGCUUGACAAAUCCAUUUGUUAUGGAAUAUGAAGGGAGCUACAGUCAAACUGAUGAGUCGAAGCAGAAUGAUGGAACUGGUCCCUUAGAUGGUGAGAAAGUUUUGAAGAAAAAGGAAAAAUCACAGAAAAAGAAACUAAGAGAAAUGGCCAGAAUGUCACAUGCUAAAUUUUCUAAUCCUAGCAGUGAUACUCUGACAGUGGCUUAUGCAUUACAGUGUUUUGAGCUUUCAAAAAGCCAAGUAGAAUUCUGCAUUGAAAACAGAUUACAUCUGAAAACCAUGGAAGAAAUGUCCAAGCUAAGGAAGCAGCUUCUUCAGUUGGUUUUUAAUCAAAAUGUUCAUAAUGAUGUUGAACAGGAUUUUUUAUGGACUCAUGGAACUAUGGAAGAUAUAGAACACUCUUGGAGGAUCUCCUCCAGUAAGAACCCACUUUUACUGAAUGAGGAAGAACUCUUAGGCCAAGCUAUCUGUGCUGGGUGGGCUGAUAGGGUUGCCAAACGCAUUAGAGGAGUUUCAAGGUCCUCUGAAGGAGAUAGAAAGGUAAACACAGCUCGGUAUCAAGCAUGCUUGGUCAAAGAAACCGUCUUUCUCCAUCGUUCUUCAUCUCUUUCAAAUUCUGCUCCUGAGUUCUUGGUGUACAGUGAACUAUUACAUACAAAACGGCCAUACAUGCACGGGGUGACAAGUGUGAAAUCAGAUUGGCUUGUUAAUUAUGCCAAGUCGUAUUGCACUUUUUCUGCUCCUCUUGCUGAUCCUAAACCUUAUUAUGAUCCUCAAACAGAUGAAGUAUAUUGUUGGGUAGUACCCACUUUUGGGCCUCACCUAUGGCAACUUCCAUUGCAUAGUUUGUGGAUCAGUAAUGACGCACAUCGUGUGACAGUAUUUGCAUUUGCUUUGCUUGAAGGCCAAGUAUUGCCAUGCUUAAGGUCUGUUAAGCAAUUCAUGUCAGCCUCUCCUGAUAUCAUCUUAAAGCCAGAAUCAUAUGGUCAAAGACGAGUUGGAAAUCUUUUACAUAAGUUAAAGGCCCAGUCAAUCAACAGUUGUGCUCAGUUAAGACAGACAUGGGAGGAAAAUUCCAGGGAAUUGCAUUUAGAAAUUCUUGACUGGUUUCAAGAAAGUUUCCACAAACAAUUUGCAAAGCUUUGGUCAGAGAUGCUCUCUGAAGUCCUUCUAGAGCCUCAAGAACGUUUCCCCAAAAGAGUGAAGAGGGAUAAAAGGAAAAAAUAAGUUGCUUAUUUGAAAUCAGUUUCUUGUACAUGUUUAAGAGCUUGGCAGGGGAAGAAUGAUUUAUAUAUUGAACCAUUUACAGAUGAAGAUGAAAAAGCUUUGAUGAUAUCUUUUUGCUCAUUAUUAUAUAACAAGCCAAGAGUUUGACACUGCUGCACAGUGCAGCUGGAGCAGCAGUGCUUAACCAUGCAGAAGUUGUAUCCUUUCUUAAAGAUGAACCUCCUGAGUGGAUAAUUGGUGCAAGAAUUAGUGACAAUCUGUCAGGUAAAGCAGGCAUAUUCUUUCCUGCUUGUGCUGUUAUUCUGUUCUUGUACUCUUCUUGAAAUACUCUGAAAUACUCUUCUGUCUUGAUUAUUCUCUUUUCUGUUCUUUUCCUCUCUAUGAAAUACCUCAAGUUUGCAACGGAGAAAAAACUCAAAGGACAAUAAGAUUAAAGAAAUACUUUAAUAACCUGUUAGGUAAUUUAUUGGUAAGGGUGUAAAGCAAAAACCUAUUAUGGUUCUUCUCUGACAUGACCAGUUGGCCUUUUCUUUCACAUAGAUAAUGAUGCUCUGUGGUUGGAAAUAAUAAGUGUUUUUCUUCCUGUUUUAGGGCAUUUAUUAUCAAGCUUUACAUUCCAAAUAAAUUGAUAUUCUACACACAUGCACACACACUCACGCAUAUAUAUUCUUUUUGGCAUAUCUCAUGUACUUUGAGGUUAAAGCAUUGUUGAGUUAUUUUUGUAAUGUUAUAAAGAUUUAGACAAGAGGAGCUUUUUGUUGUUCAUUUUCAGCGAAACUGGUUUACACAUGAGCACCAAAACGUGUUUUGAAAAUUAAGCUUUUUGUUGUUCAUUUGCCAUGUUCUUGCUUCAAAAUUAAGCUUAUUGAUGUAUUUUGAAACUGGUGUAAUUAGGUAGCUUAAGUAAUCAUUUGUUUGGUCUUCUUGCUCAUUAUUAUAUAACAGGCCAAGAGUUUGACACAUAUGCAAAACUUGUUGUGAAUGCGGCUGGACCAUUUUGUGACUCUCUAAGGCAAAUGGCUGACAAAGAUGCACAACCAAUGAUAUGUCCCAGCAGCGGUGUACAUAUUGUUCUCCCUGAUUACUGUUCUCCAGAGGGAAUGGGCUUGAUUGUUCCUAAAACUAAGGAUGGACGUGUUGUUUUCAUGCUGCCAUGGUUGGGGAGAACUGUAGCUGGCAUUAC